GCAAAGUGUUACUAUCAGUAACAUACCUUAACUUCAUUUCCUUAUUAAAUAGCUACUUCUAUGGAAGCUAGAUUCCAGAAAUAAAAAUACAAAUUUCAGCUGACCCCUGACGCCACAAUUCUAAGGCUAGUUGGCAAAUUUCUGAAUAAUGUAUGUAGCAACUGGCAGGUGAUUACAAAAG
RNAcentral lists this small RNA (181 nucleotides) under Procavia capensis (Cape rock hyrax). RNAcentral describes it as "Beta-globin co-transcriptional cleavage ribozyme (ENSPCAG00000020609.1)". The record is from RNAcentral. Lineage: Eukaryota; Metazoa; Chordata; Mammalia; Hyracoidea; Procaviidae.